Non-coding RNA from Punica granatum (pomegranate), 4706 nucleotides. Lineage: Eukaryota; Viridiplantae; Streptophyta; Magnoliopsida; Myrtales; Lythraceae. The record is from RefSeq and is a predicted model, not a curated record.
UCUUAGUAGGUUAGGAGACAGACAUUUGAACGCCAAUCUUUACGAGUGCAUGCCCUGUUUUAUUCAGCACUCAUAGAGUCAUUAAUUGAUGCAACUGUGAAGCCGUUCGAAUCAAUCUCGAACAUGAAAUGAGAUUUCUUCGGUCGUCCACCCUACUCUGGUCGUUUCUAGCUUCACUGUUGCUACUAGAAUUUUGUGCAUCUAUGGACUCACUUAACCAGUCCCGGCCGAUGAGUGAGGGUGACACGUUAAUCUCCGCCGGAGGAAAGUUCCAGCUGGGAUUCUUCAGUACAAACAACUCGAGCAACCGUUAUCUCGGGAUUUGGUUCCACAAUAUCCCAGCUAGUACGAUCGUUUGGGUUGCAAACAGAGAUAAACCCCUCGGUGGCUCGCCGGGUAGUUUGAAGAUCGAGCAGGGGAAUCUAACCAUCGAAGACAGUUCCGGAGAAGCUGUUUGGUCGUCAAAUUCUGGGAAUCUAUCCUCGAGCAGCAUAAUUGCGACGCUCCUUGAUUCAGGGAACUUGGUUUUGAAAUAUGAUAACUCGGAAAGUUAUCUCUGGCAGAGUUUCGAUCAUCCUACUGACAUGUUGUUAGCGGAAAUGAAACUUGGAUGGGACUUCAAGGUUGGGUUGGAGCGGCAUAUUAGGUCGUGGACGAGCAUGGAGGAUCCUUCUCCGGGACGGUUCUCGUACAGAAUGGACAUCCGGGGAUUUCCACAGAUUAGGCUUUUCGAGAGCAACACCACAAGCAGGUACAGGAGCAUUCCUCACUUUGGAAGUAUCCAAGCAACUAACAACUUAGUCUUUAUACCGACUUUGGUAUAUGAUUCUCAGGAAGCUUACUAUUCAUAUGUUCCCCAUGACCAGAACACUUUGACGAGGUUUGUUAUGAAUUACACCGGCAAGCUCCAGCGUUACAUGUGGAACAACCAAGCACUCAAUUGGACACUUCUAUAUGAGUUACCAAGUGAUUCAUGUGACGAGUAUGCAAAAUGCGGUCCUAAUGCAGUCUGUGUCACGGUGAAUUCUCUGCAAAGUUGCAAAUGCCUCACUGGCUACGUGCCGAAAUCGGGCCAAGACUCGGACACGCUCAACCUGUGGUACUCGGGGGGGUGUACAAGGAAAAACCCAUUUAACUGUUCGGGUCCAGAAGGUUUUAAGCGAGUGAAGAAGGUGAAAUUGCCUGAUUUGUUGCAGUUCGAGAUGAUCAAUAGCUUGAUCCAGGAAUGUGAGCAAAUGUGCUUGAGGAAUUGCACUUGCACUGCUUAUGCGAGUACCAGUGACAGCAGAGGUGGAAGAGGUUGUGUGCUUUGGUUUGGUGAUCUUCUUGACAUAAGGGAAAUUAACGAUUAUGGGAAUGAGGAUCUUUUCAUUCGGGUUAUGGCCUCGGAGAUAGAAGGAAAUUCCAAGAGAAGGAAGUGGGUGCUUGCUGUGGCAGUAGUUCUAUCUGUCGCUUCUGCAAUGUUCUGUUUAUGGGCUUUUUGGAGAAGGAGAAAAGGCGAAGGAGUAAGAUUCAAUGUUCAUGCUGGAGAACAGGAGAAUUUCGAGUUACCCACAUUCGAUGUGGUCAUGAUUUCACAAGCAACUAACAAUUUUUCCCAUUACAAUAAGAUAGGGGAGGGAGGCUUUGGUCCCGUUUACAAGGGUCAGCUCCCCAAUGGGCAAGAAAUUGCUGCGAAGAGACUGUCAGAAACCUCUAGGCAGGGACUCAAUGAGUUCAAAAAUGAGGUCAUGCUGAUUGCUAAACUUCAACAUCGAAACCUUGUGAAACUUUUGGGAUGUUGCAUUGAAGGAGAAGAGAGGAUGCUAGUGUACGAGUACAUGCCCAACGGAAGCUUGGACACCUUUAUAUUCGGUACAAAAAGGGGAAGUUGUCUAGCAUGGCGGAGGAGAUUAAAUAUCAUAGUGGGUAUAGCUAGGGGACUUCUUUAUCUUCAUCGAGAUUCAAGAUUGACGAUUAUCCAUAGGGACCUCAAAGCUAGCAACAUGUUGCUGGACAGUGAGAUGAACCCAAAAAUAUCGGAUUUUGGCAUGGCCAGGACCUUUGCAGGAGAUCAGCUCUUGGAGAAAACCAAACGAAUAGUCGGCACUUACGGCUACAUGUCACCGGAAUAUGCUGUUGAUGGGCUAUUCUCGGUAAAGUCCGACGUCUUUAGCUUCGGAGUGCUAUUGCUCGAAAUAGUGAGUGGCAAAAGGAACAGAGAGUUUCACCAUACUGACAACCAUUUCAAUCUUCUCGGUCAUGCAUGGAAAUUAUGGAUCGAGGGGAAAGCACAUGAGCUGAUAGACGCAAGGAUGGAGGAUUCAUUCCCAUUUUCUGAAGUUAUGAGAUGCAUACAAGUCGGUUUGCUGUGUGUGCAGAAACGCCCUGAAGAUAGACCUACAAUGUCUUCUGUGCUUCUAAUGCUUGACAGUAAGAAUGAUAUCUCCGGAGAAAGACGCAGAUAUUUGGUUUAGACAAAACGGAGCUUCGAGAGCGAUGCAAGAAAAAGUUUGGCAUCUUUCCAAGAAUAAACGAUUCUCCGUAUAGGAAAAGGAUCUACUAUGAUUCUGUGUGAAUGAGAAUACGAUAUUCUCUUUUCUCCAAAAUUGCUAUGGUAUCAGAGCAGAAGAAUUUCUGAGAACCGUGAGAGAGAGUGUAAGAAUGAGCAGCAGCAAAGGGAAGAUGGUUGAUAUCACCUCGCCCUAUUUCCUUAGCACAGCAGACGGCACAGGAGCUGUGCUCGUGACCUGCAAACUCACGGGCACAAACUAUUUGACUUGGUCAAGGGCCAUGUUGAACGCUUUACAAGCCAAAAAUAAGCUUGGUUUCAUUGAUGGAACCCUGCAGAGACCAGUAGAGACGGCAGAGGAGUUUGGAGCAUGGAAGAUUUGCAAUGCUACGGUGGUUGCUUGGAUUUUUAACUCGUUAGAUACGAGUCUACAUGCCAGUGUUGCUUAUGCAAGUGAGGCUAAAGCACUCUGGGAUGAUCUGAAGUAGCGUUUUUUUCAAGGGAAUGCAACAAGAAUUCAGCAGAUCAAGGCUGAAUUGAGUGUAUUGCGACAAGAUGGACUCACAGUUGGGAAAUACUACACAACUUUGAAGGGCCUAUGGGAUGAGUUGGAUGAUUACUCUCCAAUUCCAAAGUGCAUGUGUGAUGCAGUAACUGAAUUUGUGAAGCAGAAAGAAGAAGAAAAGAUUCACUAGUUCCUGAUAGGGUUGAAUGCAGAAGUGUUUGGGACUGUACGUUCUCAAAUUUUAACAUAUGAUCCUUUACCUUCCAUGGGCAAGGUUUACAAUAUGCUAAUCUUAGAAGAAAGACAAAAGAUGGCCACAACGAAUCGAGAUAUUAACCUGGAAAGUACUGCCCUUGUAGCAAUGGGCAGUGACCGACUAGGAAAGAAGAGCUGUAGCCAUUGUGGGAAAAUUGGCCAUGAGCGAGUUGAAUGUUAUCGGUUGAUGUCCUAUUCUUAUUGUCGGAAGAAUGGACAUGAGAGAACAGAUUGCUAUCGACUAAAUGGUUAUCCUGCUGAUAAGGGUGAGAGGAGAAACAAUGUUGGCAGGAAAGACACAAAUUAUCAAGGAAGAAAGCAGGAAGGAUGGAAGCUAGCAAAGACAGAGGAACAACAAAGAGAUGGAGCUCGGUCCGCAAGUUACUUGGUCAAUGACAAUCCUCAUGUAAGUACGUGGAAAGGAGGAGCAAUGUUUCUUUGCCAACAGAAAUACACAUUGGAUAUCUUAACUCAAACCGGAAUGCUCGGAGCAAAACCAGCUAUGUUUCCCAUGGAGCAACAGCUUCGGUUAUCUUUUGAUGCGGGUUCUCGGCUUUCUGAUCCUGAACAAUAUCGACGCCUCGUGGGACGUCUUGUGUAUUUAACUAUCACACGACCAGAGUUGUGCUAUCCAGUUCAUAUUUUAUCUCAAUUUAUGCAAGAUCCGAGACAACCACAUUGGGAUGCAGCUAUGCGAUUACUUCGAUAUCUUAAAGGAAUGCCAGGUCAAGGAAUACUUCUCCAACCUUCUUCUCUUCACUUAUAGGCCUAUUGCGACUCGGAUUGGGCUAGCUGCCUGAUGACUCUUCGUUCUCUCACCGGGUAUUUCAUCACUCUCGGGGGUUGCCCCAUUUCAUGGAAAACCAAGAAACAAACUACGGUUUCCAGAUCAUCUGCUGAAGCCGAAUAUUGUUCUAUGGCAAGUGUAACAAGUGAGAUAUUAUGGUUAAAAAGCUUGCUUUGGUCUUUCAAGAUCGAGCACUCCGAGCCAGUGCAAUUAUUCUGUGAUAGUCAGGCUGCUCUACACAUUGCUGCCAACCCUGUUUUUUACGAGAGAACAAAACAUAUUGAAAUCGACUGUCAUUUUAUUCGGGAGCAUCUACGGUCAAAAACCAUUCUUGCUUCUCAUGUGUCUACUCGUUUGCAACUGGCAGAUAUAUUCACCAAGGCACUUGGGAAGGAACGUUUUUGGUUUCUUCUUGGCAAGUUGGGCAUUCAUGAUAUUCACGCUCCAACUUGAGGGAGAGUAUUAGGGAAGUCAAUCCCGGAUAUAGUGGCAAUUGAUAUUGUGUUCUUAUUUCCUUGAUUCUUCCCUUGUAUCUUUUCCCAUUCAUUGUAAUUAGCUAGUCAUAUAUUAUCUUUCCUUCUCAGUCUUCUGGUAAUUGAUGUACAUAUAGGAAAAGGAUGUACUAUGAUUCUGUGUGAAUGAGAAUACGAUAUUCUCUUUUCUCCAAA